CAAGUAAGACAGGUAAUCGCGGCUGUCAGAACUGAAAAGGGACAGGCGAGGAAAGUCCGGGCUUCACAGGGCAGGAUGCCGGAUAACGUCCGGUGGAGGUGACUCCAAGGCCAGUGCAACAGAAAUAUACCGCCUGCGUAUGCAGGUAAGGGUGGAAGGGCAGUGUAAGAGACUACCGCCUGGCUGGUAACAGACAGGGCAUAUGUAAACCCCAUCCGAAGCAAGACCGGAUAAAGACGAUGUGGCGGCCCGUCACGUCUUAGGUAGGUUGCUUGAACCUGCUGGUAACAGCAGGUCUAGAAAGAUGAUUACCCAACGACAUAACCCGGCUUAUCGUUUUGCUUGCUUU
This 349-nucleotide RNase P RNA is filed under the name Lachnospiraceae bacterium. RNAcentral describes it as "RNase P RNA component class A". It matches the Rfam family "Bacterial RNase P class A". Rfam says of the family: Ribonuclease P (RNase P) is a ubiquitous endoribonuclease, found in archaea, bacteria and eukarya as well as chloroplasts and mitochondria. Lineage: Bacteria; Bacillati; Bacillota; Clostridia; Lachnospirales; Lachnospiraceae. The record is from RNAcentral.